AGAGUUUGAUCCUGGCUCAGAAUCAACGCUGGCGGCGUGCCUAACACAUGCAAGUCGAACGCGAAAGUGGAGCAAUCCAUGAGUAGAGUGGCAAACGGGUGAGUAACACGUGGGUGACCUGCCUUCGAGCGGGGGAUAACGUCCCGAAAGGGACGCUAAUACCGCAUAACAUCCUGCCUUUUAAGAGGUGGAGAUCAAAGCCGGGGAUCGCAAGACCUGGCACUUGAAGAGGGGCCCGCGCCUGAUUAGCUAGUUGGUGGGGUAAUGGCUCACCAAGGCAACGAUCAGUAUCCGGCCUGAGAGGGCGGACGGACACACUGGGACUGAGACACGGCCCAGACUCCUACGGGAGGCAGCAGUGGGGAAUUGUUCGCAAUGGGCGCAAGCCUGACGACGCAACGCCGCGUGGAGGAUGAAGACCUUCGGGUCGUAAACUCCUUUCGAUCGAGACGAAUGGUUUCCGGGUGAACAAUCCGGAGAAAUGACGGUACCGAGAGAAGAAGCCCCGGCUAACUCCGUGCCAGCAGCCGCGGUAAUACGGGGGGGGCAAGCGUUGUUCGGAAUUACUGGGCGUAAAGGGCUCGUAGGUGGCCAACUAAGUCAGACGUGAAAUCCCUCAGCUUAACUGGGGAACUGCGUCUGAUACUGGAUGGCUUGAGUUUGGGAGAGGGAUGCGGAAUUCCAGGUGUAGCGGUGAAAUGCGUAGAUAUCUGGAGGAACACCGGUGGCGAAGGCGGCAUCCUGGACCAAUACUGACACUGAGGAGCGAAAGCCAGGGGAGCAAACGGGAUUAGAUACCCUAGUAGUCC
This 809-nucleotide ribosomal RNA is filed under the name uncultured bacterium. RNAcentral describes it as "bacterial SSU rRNA". It matches the Rfam family "Bacterial small subunit ribosomal RNA", at positions 8 to 796 of the family's 1533-position model. The record is from RNAcentral.